AAUGACAUGAACUGGUGAGUAAUCUCUUGAUUCUGCAAUACCACCUAGGGGUAGGGGUAGGACGAUCGAUUGCGCUAACUUCUGUUUAUAAUGCGGUAUUAAUUACUAGGGGAGGCUAGGGAUAGCAAGCCAGUAAUUGAUAUUAGGCCCUUUUCGCCGAGGGAUCGGGUUAAGGGGAGGCUAAGAAAGUCGCAUAACAAUUGAAUCAAUCUAAUAAUCAAGGGUAGUAUGUAAGAGNAGGCUAAGAAAGUCGCAUAACAAUUGAAUCAAUCUAAUAAUCAAGGGUAGUAUGUAAGAGAGAGUGGAAUAGAUGAAAUUGUUAGUACCCAACAACAUCCAUCCAUCCAUUGUUUUCACUUGUCAAUUGAAUCA
This 372-nucleotide long non-coding RNA is filed under the name Vigna radiata. RNAcentral describes it as "long non-coding RNA (VRAD_LNC013707)". Lineage: Eukaryota; Viridiplantae; Streptophyta; Magnoliopsida; Fabales; Fabaceae. The record is from RNAcentral.